Molecule: non-coding RNA, 698 nt
Organism: Macaca mulatta (Rhesus monkey)
Lineage: Eukaryota; Metazoa; Chordata; Mammalia; Primates; Cercopithecidae
Source: RefSeq, a predicted model, not a curated record
GCUGUGGGAGGAACUGGCUGCCAUGAGCACACUUAAGCAGGCCUAGAGAGAGGCCCACAAGGUGAGGAACUGAGGCCUCCAGCCUUUAGUCACAUGAGUGAACCAUCUUGAAAGUGGAUCCUCUAGCCCCAGUCAAGCCUCCAGUUCCCACCCACACUCCUGACUGCAGCCUCAUGAAAGACUCCAAGUCAGAGAUAUCCAGCUAAACUGCUCCUGGAUUUCUGACCCAUAGAAAUGGUGCUUCCUGUCACUUCUCUUGAAUCCCGAUGCUCUCUCUGGGACGAUCUAUUUGAAGUGUGACUACUACUCCCUAUCUUGCUUCUUUGUUGUAGAGAAGGGCAGAGACAUGUCUGUCCAGGACGCCGCUGCAAAUCUGAUGCCUACCUAGUGCCUGUCAAGGAAAAGGCACUCAACAGUGACUUUAAUGACUCACAUCCCACUCUAACUCCUCUAUAAAAGGAAAGAAAGAUCAGACCCUGACCUUCAAAAAUGAAUACAGGACUAUUCAAGACAACAACAGAAGAAGAAAAAUGCCUUCAAUUCAAAAUAAAACGUAUUGGCAAUGGAAGGCAUUUCAGUUUUAAAGCAAAUAAAACUCGACAAAAUAUUUCUCAAUGACCAGAAGCAACAAAAUAGUUUGUCAGAAUGCCCUGAAAUGCUUUCCAUGACAGUUUGAUAAAACUUACAUAACACAAUUA